ACGGGUGCGGAACACGUACGCAACCUUCCUUCAAGCGGGGGAUAGCUUUCGGAAACGAAAAUUAAUACCCCAUAGUAAUGUCUGAGGGCAUCUGAGGACAUUUAAAGAUUUAUCACUUGAAGAUGGGCGUGCGCCUGAUUAGGUAGUUGGCGGGGUAACGGCCCACCAAGCCUACGAUCAGUAACUGGUGUGAGAGCACGACCAGUCACACGGGCACUGAGACACGGGCCCGACUCCUACGGGAGGCAGCAGUAAGGAAUAUUGGUCAAUGGACGCAAGUCUGAACCAGCCAUGCCGCGUGGAGGAUGAAGGUCCUCUGGAUUGUAAACUUCUUUUAUCGGAGAAGAAACCCCCGUUUUCUAAUGGGGUUGACGGUACCCGAUGAAUAAGCACCGGCUAACUCCGUGCCAGCAGCCGCGGUAAUACGGAGGGUGCAAGCGUUAUCCGGAUUCACUGGGUUUAAAGGGAGCGUAGGUGGGCUGGUAAGUCAGUGGUGAAAUCUCCGGGCUUAACUCGGAAACUGCCGUUGAUACUAUCAGUCUUGAAUGUUGUGGAGGUAAGCGGAAUAUGUCAUGUAGCGGU
RNAcentral lists this ribosomal RNA (582 nucleotides) under uncultured bacterium. RNAcentral describes it as "bacterial SSU rRNA". It matches the Rfam family "Bacterial small subunit ribosomal RNA", at positions 102 to 682 of the family's 1533-position model. The record is from RNAcentral.